RNAcentral lists this ribosomal RNA (282 nucleotides) under uncultured soil bacterium. Its description in RNAcentral is "partial 16S ribosomal RNA". It matches the Rfam family "Bacterial small subunit ribosomal RNA", at positions 26 to 314 of the family's 1533-position model. The record is from RNAcentral.
AGAUUGAACGCUGGCGGCAUGCCUUACACAUGCAAGUCGAACGGCAGCACGGGAGCAAUCCUGGUGGCGAGUGGCGAACGGGUGAGUAAUAUAUCGGAACGUGCCCAGUCGUGGGGGAUAACGCAGCGAAAGCUGUGCUAAUACCGCAUACGAUCUAUGGAUGAAAGCGGGGGAUCGCAAGACCUCGCGCGAUUGGAGCGGCCGAUAUCAGAUUAGCUAGUUGUGGGUAAAAGCUACCAAGGCGACGAUCUGUAGCUGGUCUGAGAGACGACCAGCCACACU